This 386-nucleotide ribosomal RNA is filed under the name uncultured bacterium. RNAcentral describes it as "bacterial SSU rRNA". It matches the Rfam family "Bacterial small subunit ribosomal RNA", at positions 102 to 520 of the family's 1533-position model. The record is from RNAcentral.
ACGGGUGAGUAACACGUGACUAACCUACCCUGGAGUGGGGGAUAACUGAGGGAAACCUUAGCUAAUACCGCAUAAUACCCACGGGUCAAAGGAGCAAUUCGCUCUGGGAGGGGGUCGCGGCCGAUUAGUUAGUUGGCGGGGUAAUGGCCCACCAAGACGAUGAUCGGUAUCCGGCCUGAGAGGGCGCACGGACACACUGGAACUGAAACACGGUCCAGACUCCUACGGGAGGCAGCAGUGGGGAAUUUUGCGCAAUGGGGGAAACCCUGACGCAGCAACGCCGCGUGGAGGAUGAAGUCCUUCGGGACGUAAACUCCUUUCGAUCGGGACGAUAAUGACGGUACCGGAAGAAGAAGCCCCGGCUAACUUCGUGCCAGCAGCCGCGG